This 217-nucleotide ribosomal RNA is filed under the name uncultured bacterium. RNAcentral's name for it is "partial 16S ribosomal RNA". It matches the Rfam family "Bacterial small subunit ribosomal RNA", at positions 307 to 526 of the family's 1533-position model. The record is from RNAcentral.
GCCUCCCUCCGCCGCCACUCAGACUCCGUACGGGAGGCGAGCAGUGGGAAGUCUUGCGCAAUGCGCGAAGCGUGACGCAGCAACGCCGCGUGGUGAAGACGGCCUUCGGUUGUAAGCCUUUCAGUUGGGACGAAGCUUCGUCGGUGAAUAGCCGACUGGAGUGACGGUACCUUCAGAAGAAGCCCGGCUAACUACGUGCCAGCAGCCGCGGUAAUAC